This 460-nucleotide ribosomal RNA is filed under the name uncultured bacterium. RNAcentral's name for it is "partial 16S ribosomal RNA". It matches the Rfam family "Bacterial small subunit ribosomal RNA", at positions 338 to 795 of the family's 1533-position model. The record is from RNAcentral.
CCUACGGGAGGCAGCAGUGAGGAAUAUUGGUCAAUGGGCGCGAGCCUGAACCAGCCAAGUAGCGUGAAGGAUGACUGCCCUACGGGUUGUACACUUCUUUUAUAAAGGAAUAAAGUGAGGCACGUGUGCCUUUUUGUAUGUACUUUAUGAAUAAGGAUCGGCUAACUCUGUGCCAGCAGCCGCGGUAAUACGGAGGAUCCGAGCGUUAUCCGGAUUUAUUGGGUUUAAAGGGAGCGUAGAUGGGUUGUUAAGUCAGUUGUGAAAGUUUGCGGCUCAACCGUAAAAUUGCAAUUGAUACUGGCAGUCUUGAGUACAGUUGAGGUAGGCGGAAUUCGUGGUGUAGCGGUGAAAGGCUUAGAUAUCACGAAGAACCCCGAUUGCGAAGGCAUCUUACCGGCGCCCUACUGACGCUGAGGCACGAAAGCGUGGGUAUCGAACAGGAUUAGAUACCCGAGUAGUC